This is a transfer RNA of Puccinia sorghi, 72 nucleotides long. It matches the Rfam family "tRNA". Rfam says of the family: Transfer RNA (tRNA) molecules are approximately 80 nucleotides in length. Their secondary structure includes four short double-helical elements and three loops (D, anti-codon, and T loops). The record is from Rfam. Lineage: Eukaryota; Fungi; Basidiomycota; Pucciniomycetes; Pucciniales; Pucciniaceae.
GCAUACUUAUCUCAAUGGUUAGAUCAUCAGUCAUACAUGCUGAGGUUGUGGGUUCAAGUCCCACAGUACACA